This 467-nucleotide ribosomal RNA is filed under the name uncultured bacterium. RNAcentral's name for it is "partial 16S ribosomal RNA". It matches the Rfam family "Bacterial small subunit ribosomal RNA", at positions 28 to 506 of the family's 1533-position model. The record is from RNAcentral.
GACGAACGCUGGCGGCGUGCUUAACACAUGCAAGUCGAACGGAAAGGCCCUGCUUUUGUGGGGUACUCGAGUGGCGAACGGGUGAGUAACACGUGAGUAACCUGCCCUUGACUUUGGGAUAACUUCAGGAAACUGGGGCUAAUACCGGAUAGGAGCUCCUGCUGCAUGGUGGGGGUUGGAAAGUUUCGGCGGUUGGGGAUGGACUCGCGGCUUAUCAGCUUGUUGGUGGGGUAGUGGCUUACCAAGGCUUUGACGGGUAGCCGGCCUGAGAGGGUGACCGGCCACAUUGGGACUGAGAUACGGCCCAGACUCCUACGGGAGGCAGCAGUGGGGAAUAUUGCACAAUGGGCGGAAGCCUGAUGCAGCAACGCCGCGUGCGGGAUGACGGCCUUCGGGCUGUAAACCGCUUUCGCCUGUGACGAAGCGUGAGUGACGGUAAUGGGUAAAGAAGCACCGGCUAACUACGU